This is a long non-coding RNA of Lynx canadensis (Canada lynx), 768 nucleotides long. RefSeq lists it as uncharacterized. The record is from RefSeq and is a predicted model, not a curated record. The transcript is spliced from 2 exons. NCBI's taxonomy places the organism in Eukaryota, Metazoa, Chordata, Mammalia, Carnivora, Felidae.
CCCGAGCCAAAGUCGGACGCUCAACUGACUGAGCCACCCAGUGAUAAGAUGAUAAAAUGCACACGUGAUGACAUUAAGUGUGGUGAACAAUCUAAGCAUUGUGACAUGGCGAUAGGCUGAUACUGACUUCUGAGGAUAAGUCAGAAGGAGGAUCAUCGGCUUCCCAACUACAUCAAAAUCACCAAAAAAGAAACUGCAGAUGUGGGCGGGGGGACUAUUCUACAUUGCUGUUACAGCGUGGAAGGUGCAACAGACCACACGCAAAUAAGUGAGUAUGGCUGUGUUCUAAUAAAAUUAUCUACAAAUAUAGGUGGUGAGUGAGUCAGACUUGCCUUGGGGGUUAUAUAGCCUGUGAAUCCCUGAAGAAGAUAAUGGCCCAAAAGCCUAUGAAAAAAUACUCAAUAUAUUAAUCAUCAGGAAAUACAAACUAAAACCAUAGUGAGAUAUCAGUACCUACUCAGAACACUAGAAUGACAAAAAUUAAAAAGACUAUCCAAACCAAGUAAUGGCAAGGACGUGGAGCAACUACAUACCAAGUAGAUGUUUAUACGGAGAAUGUUUAUAUACUACUGAUGGGAAUGUAAAGUUAUGCAACCACUUUGGAAAUGGUCUGGUAGUUUCUUAAAAAGUUAACCAUGACUCAGCAAUUCCAUUUUUGGGUAUUUUCCGAAGAAAAUAAAAACACGUGUCCACACAAAGAGUUGCUUUAUUCAUAACAAGCAAAAAGUAGUAAAAAAAAUAAAAAUAAAAACAAAACAAAACAAAAAA